GAUGAAGAACGUAGCGAAAUGCGAUAAGUAAUGCGAAUUGCAGAAUUCAGCGAGUCAUCGAAUCUUUGAACGCAUAUUGCGCCCCUUGGUAUUCCAUGGGGCAUGCCUGUUCGAGCGUCAUUUGUACCUUCAAGCUUUGCUUGGUGUUGGGUGUUUGUCUCGCCUUUGCGUGUAGACUCGCCUUAAAAUAAUUGGCAGCCGGCGUAUUGAUUUCGGAGCGCAGUACAUCUCGCGCUUUGCACUCAUAACGACAGCGUCCAAAAGUACAUUUUACACUCUUGACCUCGGAUCAGGUAGGGAUACCCGCUGAACUUAAGCAUAUCAAUAAGCGGAGGA
RNAcentral lists this unclassified non-coding RNA (336 nucleotides) under soil metagenome. RNAcentral's name for it is "partial contains 5.8S ribosomal RNA, internal transcribed spacer 2, and large subunit ribosomal RNA". The stretch from base 1 to 120 matches the Rfam family "5.8S ribosomal RNA", at positions 35 to 154 of the family's 154-position model. The record is from RNAcentral.